This is a long non-coding RNA of Pipistrellus kuhlii (Kuhl's pipistrelle), 141 nucleotides long. RefSeq lists it as uncharacterized. The record is from RefSeq and is a predicted model, not a curated record. NCBI's taxonomy places the organism in Eukaryota, Metazoa, Chordata, Mammalia, Chiroptera, Vespertilionidae. The transcript has 3 exons.
GCCCGGGCCGCGGCGGGCGGCGGCCACUGCAGGCAGCAGACGUCCGUGGCCACGCCGACUACCUACAGAGGUCGGCGAGGGGGGCGUCCCUCCUGUGCUUCCUCCGCUUGCCGUGGAAACACGGGUUAGUGGGUUUGCUGG